This 363-nucleotide long non-coding RNA is filed under the name Nicotiana benthamiana. RNAcentral describes it as "long non-coding RNA (NBEN_LNC016363)". Lineage: Eukaryota; Viridiplantae; Streptophyta; Magnoliopsida; Solanales; Solanaceae. The record is from RNAcentral.
UCAUGGAACGAAUACUGGAGCAUUAUGGUUCAAGUUUCUGUUUGAGUUUGCUGCAGUUUUCAUAUUUGCAGGACCCUUGAUUGUCGCUGAUUUCCUUUGAACUUUUGGCUUGAAAUGAGCAUCAAUGUCCUCUCCUUCACUAUCGUCGUUAAAAUCUUGGUCGUCUUCUGAAGAUGAAUAACCAGCAAGUCCUUCUCCCCAGUCCUCGUUAUCGUCAAAUUCUCUUUGGGUCAAUGUCCUCUCCUUCACUAUCGUCGUCAAACUCUUGGUCAUCUUCUGAAGAUGAAUAACCAGAAGUCCUUCUCCCCAGCCCUCGUCAUUGUCAAAAUCUCUUUAGUCUUUCCACAAUUUGGAUUUAAUGAC